Molecule: long non-coding RNA, 1137 nt
Organism: Siniperca chuatsi (mandarin fish)
Lineage: Eukaryota; Metazoa; Chordata; Actinopteri; Centrarchiformes; Sinipercidae
Exons: 4
Source: RefSeq, a predicted model, not a curated record
GAGCUAUUGAGAAUAAGUUUGAAAGACAACUGCAGAUGACACAAGGGAUUUCGGUAAUCAAGGGGUUGGGUUCCCUCAGGGCCUAAUCCAAAAAGAAGAUAAACAAAACUGCUGAUUCAAGUACAAAUCAUUUUGCUUAAUGAAAGAUGCUUGACGUCUCAGAUCCAAUUAAUAUGCAAAUGCAAGUGAGGAUUUAUUUGUGACAUUCUGUAUGGUGCAUCAUGUCUUGUUUUGGUGUGAUGAGACCAGUGCCACCUCCUACAGUUUGUCUAAAAAGGAAAGCACAUGUACUACAUGUUCCCCAUUGGACAACCUUUAACCAUUUUAUGUAGCAUUGAGCGGAGCGAUGAUUUAGUGCACCCCAAUCGAGGAACACUUCCGGAGCUGUAAAAACAACAAUCAGCCUCUUUGGAUUAAAAGGCCAUAUGUCCUUUAACAACAACCAAAAAAAAAGAUGCUGACUAGCAGUAGGGUGGGCAAAAUAAAAUGAUCCACUGACAUCGCCUCUAAUGCUUUUAAUCUUCUUGUGAUAUCUUUAUAGCUUUUAACCUUGCUUUGUAAGGCAGACAAAUCUCCCUGCUUGGCUCAGUGUUAGUUCCAAGAACAGUAUUGGGAUUCGGAUUUGGAAGUAUCUGAGUUGUUUUGCCAUGGACAUGAAACUGUCAUGGUUCUGAUAAUAUAAAGUGUAACUGUAAUAUCUUUACAUUAUCUUACUUCAUAUUAUCGAUGCCAGUUUUAGACCUGAUGGAAACUGCAACAAAUGCAGCUUAGUUUUUCUGUGAAAUUACAGUUCUUCAGAGAUAUACUGGCUCCGUGGAAAGACAUGCUUAAGUCUCCCUUCUUGCUCAACAUCAUAAAACAAACAGUAGGGUUGGUAAUUGGUGUUUUUGCUGCAAUGGCUCACAAUAGUAAUUUAUGCAAAACGUCUUGAGAACAUUUGCAGAGUAUUCCCAUUGUCAUCUGCAAAUGUUUGCUGUAUCUUGUGGUCUAGGGCAAAAUUUUAACCAAAAUUCAAUUCAAAAGUUUCAUUUUAGUACACAAAUGACAAUUUAUAACUCGUUCCAACAGGAAUGUAAUAAAUUACACUGUUAUACACAUGGGGUGAAACAUACUGUACAAAGAGACUCUUAUGCGAGC